UACGGGGGGGGCAAGCGUUGUUCGGAAUUACUGGGCGUAAAGGGCUCGUAGGCGGCCAACUAAGUCCGACGUGAAAUCCCAAGGCUUAACCUUGGAACUGCGCCGGAUACUGGAUGGCUUGAAUUCGGGAGAGGGAUGCAGAAUUCCAGGUGUAGCGGUGAAAUGCGUAGAUAUCUGGAGGAAUACCGGUGGCGAAGGCGGCAUCCUGGACCGACAUUGACGCUGAGGAGCGAAAGCUAGGGGAGCAAACGGG
This 253-nucleotide ribosomal RNA is filed under the name uncultured bacterium. RNAcentral's name for it is "partial 16S ribosomal RNA". It matches the Rfam family "Bacterial small subunit ribosomal RNA", at positions 524 to 776 of the family's 1533-position model. The record is from RNAcentral.